GAUGAACGCUGGCGGCGUGCUUAACACAUGCAAGUCGAACGAAGCACCUUGAUUCGAUUCUUCGGAUGCAGAUCUUGGUGACUGAGUGGCGGACGGGUGAGUAACGCGUGGGUAACCUGCCUCAUACAGGGGGAUAACAGUUAGAAAUGACUGCUAAUACCGCAUAAGACCACAGCACCGCAUGGUGCAGGGGUAAAAACUCCGGUGGUAUGAGAUGGACCCGCGUCUGAUUAGGUAGUUGGUGGGGUAACGGCCUACCAAGCCGACGAUCAGUAGCCGAGCUGAGAGGGUGACCGGCGACAUUGGGACUGGGCCGCAGCCCGAAAUCCUACGGGAGGCGGCAGAGGGUAAUAUAGCACAAUGGGGGAAACCCUGAUGCAGCGACGCCGCGUGAGCGAUGAAGUAUUUCGGUAUGUAAAGCUCUAUAAGCAGGGAAGAAAAUGACGGUACCUGACUAAGAAGCACCGGCUAAAUACGUG
RNAcentral lists this ribosomal RNA (479 nucleotides) under uncultured bacterium. Its description in RNAcentral is "partial 16S ribosomal RNA". It matches the Rfam family "Bacterial small subunit ribosomal RNA", at positions 28 to 507 of the family's 1533-position model. The record is from RNAcentral.